UCCCCUGGGUCCGGGCGCUGUCCAGUGGGGCACAGGUGGCUGUGGGCGGGGACGGAAAGAGGCGGUGGCAGCGGUUCGUCCCACCCACCUCCCUUGCUGUGCAGUUUGGUGUACUUCGACAGAUCGAGGUUCCGAAAGUUAUGCUCGGCCUGGCCUGUAGAACCUGCGCCGUAGCUUCUUCCUGCGUAGCGGGUGUCCGACUCCUCUAGGUUUCUCCCUAUACACCCGGUGGAACUCAGACUUGAGAUCCUCCUGCCUCAGUUUCCUGCGCAUCUGGGAUUGUAGAUACACACCGCCACACUCAGCUUGUCUUCGUCGUUUUUCGGUGUAGGGUUUGGAGGCAUUGAGUGUAUUUACACCGCUGUGCAGUCAUCACCACCAUUCUUUUCUAGCACGGUUCGUGGUCCCAGAUUCCCUAACUUCCGAUUCUUCAUCCCCCCACAACGCCUGACAGCCGCCAUUCUAAUUUAUCUCCACGAAUGUGCAUGUGCACUGCUUAUGAGGAGAGUCCUAGAGUAUCUGUAUUGAGCUUGUUUAAAUUCCUCCAGAGUCUUCAUCCGUGUAGCAGCACGCGUUGGGGUUUCCUUCGUCCUUAUGCAUGAGUAGUGUUUUGGCUUUUGUGAGUGCCACAGCUCUGAACUACUCCACGGCAUUUUCAGAAAGAAUGGAGGAAGAAGAGGUACACAGCUAAUAGUUAUGUUGGAUAUCUGUAGUUUUACUUCAAGAUACAUCCACGUGGUCAGUAUAUGAAUUGCUGCUUUUGUGGGAGAUGUCUGCCCUGAACACGUCUAGCUGCUCCAAGGUGACGAUCUGACAUUUCAAAAACACUAAUCACAAAGUGCGACUCCAAAGGCAGUAUCUGCAGGCUUCGGCCACCUCUGUCUCCAAUCAGGACCAGAGAACUUGAGAGCUAACAUAAUACCUGUAACUAUUGCUUUUUUAAAAAACUGAAUUGCUGCCUAAGAUUUGUGGAUUGGCUAAAAAUGCCAAAAAGUUUUCUUGCUUCUCUAGGAACAGAGUGUUAAAAUCUAGGCAGUCCAGUAACAAUACCUGUAAGAUUGUGUGUGUACAGCGUGUUUCAGAGGAGUCCACCCUUCUGACCCCAUCCAGAGGGCUAGCUCGUCUUCCUGUGGCCAUAUCACCUCUGGAGAAU
This is a long non-coding RNA of Fukomys damarensis (Damara mole-rat), 1153 nucleotides long. RefSeq lists it as uncharacterized. The transcript has 3 exons. The record is from RefSeq and is a predicted model, not a curated record. NCBI's taxonomy places the organism in Eukaryota, Metazoa, Chordata, Mammalia, Rodentia, Bathyergidae.